RNAcentral lists this non-coding RNA (44 nucleotides) under Trypanosoma brucei brucei. Lineage: Eukaryota; Euglenozoa; Kinetoplastea; Trypanosomatida; Trypanosomatidae. The record is from RNAcentral.
AAUAUACGUGAUUUUGAAGGUACUAUGUAAAUUCUAUAUAAGUU